CCUACGGGUGGCAGCAGUGAGGAAUAUUGGUCAAUGGACGAGAGUCUGAACCAGCCAAGUCGCGUGAAGGAUGACUGCCCUAUGGGUUGUAAACUUCUUUUAUCUGGGAAUAACAUGUUCCACGUGUGGGAUUUUGUAUGUACCCUAUGAAUAAAGCACGGCUAACUCCGUGCCAGCAGCCGCGGUAAUACGGAGGAUCCGAGCGUUAUCCGGAUUUAUUGGGUUUAAAGGGAGCGUUGGUGGAUUGUUCAGUCAGUUGUGAAAGUUUGCGGCUCAACCGUAAAAUUGCAGUUGAAACUGGCAGUCUUGAGUACAGGAGAGGUGGGCGGAAUGCGUGGUGUAGCGGUGAAAUGCUUAGAUAUCACGAAGAACUCCGAUUGCGAAGGCAGUUCACUGGACUGCAACUGACACUGAGGCUCGAAAGUGUGGGUAUCAAACAGGAUUAGAUACCCCAGUAGUC
RNAcentral lists this ribosomal RNA (460 nucleotides) under uncultured bacterium. RNAcentral describes it as "partial 16S ribosomal RNA". It matches the Rfam family "Bacterial small subunit ribosomal RNA", at positions 338 to 795 of the family's 1533-position model. The record is from RNAcentral.